GCACCUUGUGAAGGGGUGUUGCUGGCCAAUGGAGCACAGGCACAUUGUUUGCACCUGUGUUCCCCACAUGACCAGAAGGGGUGGAUGCAGAGCAGAGCCAUCCUGGACUAAUUUACGGGCUAGCCACUGAAAGGAGGAUUUCUCUUGGGCUUAGGCUGCUUCCUUAGAUGGAGUGCUGUGUAGUUAGAGUCCCUUCACAAGCAGGAUGCAUCUGCCAUCCAUGAUGGUGAGAACUUACAGUAUGUAGGAACCCACAGUGCUACUCUUCACCUUUUCCUGGAGCCAUGCAUAGCUUCUUCCUUUGGUAUAAAAGCAGUGUCAUAAAUCCAGGUUACCGCAAAGAAGAAUAAAGACAUAUUAGCACAUAUCUUUCAUUCUCUGAGUUACAGAAUGGCAGGAUAUUUUAGUCCAAAAUCCUACCAGAUGUGCAGCAAAGUCAACAUACCUCUGCCUGUUGGCUCUUUACUGAUUGUAACAACUUUAGGGUUGGUAUGUA
Numida meleagris (helmeted guineafowl) is the source of this 496-nucleotide long non-coding RNA. RefSeq lists it as uncharacterized. The record is from RefSeq and is a predicted model, not a curated record. The transcript is spliced from 3 exons. NCBI's taxonomy places the organism in Eukaryota, Metazoa, Chordata, Aves, Galliformes, Numididae.